CGCGGCGGGAGUUUGCAAGUGGGAGUACACACGGGUGUCCUAGAGCACCAAAUUCAACCCCUCUCCUCGGGAAGGUCUGAGGUUCGAGUCCUGAUGGCGACAUCAGCUGAAAACGUGAUGUUUUCUCGUUGCGGGAAACCGCGAGCUGCCAUACCAGCAAGCCUGUUUGACUUGGCCUGCUCCCAUCGCAGCCCCUAUUCGCUCGUUGACGUGCUGGUGCACGGAGAGCAGUGGCCGUGGUGGGUCGCUUGAAACGCGUGGCAGCGGCUGGCUCAUGCAGUUCAAUAUGCAAAGGCCCUUGACUCUGUCGAGGGUGAACCCAAUUCAGACUACUCCUCGCCGCG
This 344-nucleotide RNase P RNA is filed under the name Salpingoeca rosetta. Its description in RNAcentral is "Salpingoeca sp. ATCC 50818 Nuclear RNase P". It matches the Rfam family "Nuclear RNase P". Rfam says of the family: Ribonuclease P (RNase P) is a ubiquitous endoribonuclease, found in archaea, bacteria and eukarya as well as chloroplasts and mitochondria. Its best characterised activity is the generation of mature 5'-ends of tRNAs by cleaving the 5'-leader elements of precursor-tRNAs. Lineage: Eukaryota; Choanoflagellata; Craspedida; Salpingoecidae. The record is from Rfam by way of RNAcentral.